CCUACGGGUGGCAGCAGUCGAGAAUUUUUCUCAAUGGGGGAAACCCUGAAGGAGCGACGCCGCGUGGAGGAUGAAGGCUUUCGGGUUGUAAACUCCUGUCAUUUGGGAACAAAGUCCCGCGUUCGCGGGAUGUGAUAGUACCAGAAGAGGAAGAGACGGCUAACUCUGUGCCAGCAGCCGCGGUAAUACAGAGGUCUCAAGCGUUGUUCGGAUUCAUUGGGCGUAAAGGGCGCGUAGGCUGCGGGGUAAGUCGGGUGUGAAAUCUCAGAGCUCAACUCUGAAAUGGCACUUGAUACUGCUCUGCUAGAGGACUGGAGAGGAGAUUGGAAUUCACAGUGUAGCAGUGAAAUGCGUAGAUAUUGUGAGGAAGACCGGUGGCGAAGGCGGAUCUCUGGACAGUUCCUGACGCUGAGGCGCGAAGGCCAGGGGAGCAAACGGGAUUAGAUACCCUAGUAGUC
Molecule: ribosomal RNA, 458 nt
Filed under: uncultured Verrucomicrobiota bacterium
Lineage: Bacteria; Pseudomonadati; Verrucomicrobiota
Description: bacterial SSU rRNA
Rfam family: Bacterial small subunit ribosomal RNA
Source: RNAcentral